AUUGAACGCUGUCGGCAGGCCUAACACAUGCACGUCGCGCGAGCGGCGGACGGGUGAGUAAUGUCUGGGGAUCUGCCCGAUCGAGGGGGAUAACUACUGGAAACGGUGGCUAAUACCGCAUACCAUCGGAUGAGCCCAAGUGGGAUUAGGUAGUUGGUGAGGUAAAGGCUCACCAAGCCGACGCUCUCUAGCUGGUCUGAGAGGAUGACCAGCCACACUGGAAAUGAGACACGGUCCAGACUCCUACGGGAGGCAGCAGUGGGGAAGAGUGCACAAUGGGCGCAAGCCUGAUGCAGCCAUGCCGCGUGUAUGAAGAAGGCCUUCGGGUUGGAAAGUACUUUCAGCGAGGAGGCGUUACUCGCAGAAGAAGCACCGGCUAACUCCGUGCCAGCAGCCGCGGGAAUUC
Molecule: ribosomal RNA, 406 nt
Filed under: uncultured bacterium
Lineage: Bacteria
Description: partial 16S ribosomal RNA
Rfam family: Bacterial small subunit ribosomal RNA
Source: RNAcentral